GAUGAACGCUAGCUACAGGCUUAACACAUGCAAGUCGAGGGGCAUCAGGAAGAGAGCUUGCUUUCUUUGCUGGCGACCGGCGCACGGGUGAGUAACACGUAUCCAACCUGCCCUUUACUCGGGGAUAGCCUUUCGAAAGAAAGAUUAAUACCCGAUAGCAUAAUGAUUCCGCAUGGUUUCAUUAUUAAAGAUUUAUCGGUGAUGGAUGGGGAUGCGUCUGAUUAGCUUGUUGGCGGGGUAACGGCCCACCAAGGCGACGAUCAGUAGGGGUUCUGAGAGGAAGGUCCCCCACAUUGGAACUGAGACACGGUCCAA
This 315-nucleotide ribosomal RNA is filed under the name uncultured bacterium. RNAcentral's name for it is "bacterial SSU rRNA". It matches the Rfam family "Bacterial small subunit ribosomal RNA", at positions 28 to 334 of the family's 1533-position model. The record is from RNAcentral.